AAUUAAAUUAGUAUUUGACUUUUUAAUCCUUAAAGAGAUAAAUUAAUUUAUUCUUUAAAAUUUUAUUUCUAAUGGCAUACCUAUGUAAUUACUUACAAAAAUUAAGGUUACAUUUAAAAUGUACUUCCCAAAUAAUAUAGUAGGAUGUUUGUAUUAACAUAAAAGACCAAUAAUGAUAAAAAAAAAUUAUACAAAAAA
This 198-nucleotide small RNA is filed under the name Arabidopsis thaliana (thale cress). RNAcentral's name for it is "ATSL257150". Lineage: Eukaryota; Viridiplantae; Streptophyta; Magnoliopsida; Brassicales; Brassicaceae. The record is from RNAcentral.